Molecule: long non-coding RNA, 730 nt
Organism: Gadus macrocephalus (Pacific cod)
Lineage: Eukaryota; Metazoa; Chordata; Actinopteri; Gadiformes; Gadidae
Exons: 2
Source: RefSeq, a predicted model, not a curated record
UUUUCAUUUUUGGAAACACAUGGAUUUUCAUCAAUACUGAAAUUCAAGUAGUUUCACCGUAAAAUGACAUGUUUAUAACGACUUUCGCCUCUAGGGCGCAGCCAUGUUUUAAAAACGCAGGCGCUACGUCAUCAGAAUGGUUGGCUCUUUAAAAUAAACAUGUCGGAUAUUGGAAGAAGAACAGGGGGGUCCUUUUGUAUUGCCCCUGGCUGUUCAAACAAAUUUUAUCGGUUAAAGGAGAGCGGUAGAAUAGUUCAUUUCCAUGUAAUUCCCGUCAAGAAGCCUGAAGUGCUCCGAAGAUGGUUAGCUGCAUUGAAACGCCUCAGCCCCCCAAUGGGACCAGGGCAGAGAGUAUGUAGCGACCACUUUAUAGAGGCUGAUUACAUCGAAGAGGGAGCUUUUUCUGAAGAUGGGAGAUUUGUUCGCCGUCCCACCAAUCGCCUGAAGCCAGAUGCUGUGCCAACUAUUUUUAAUUUUAGUGGAUAUAGUGCUGGAGACACGGACAUACCCGUCAGAUCGGACCCGGGCGCUGCUCUUAUGCGCAGCGAAAGAGCGCAGAAACGUGCUUGCCAGGCAGAGGAACGAGAGGUUCAUUUCAUGGCAGCAGACACUCUCCAUGUCAGUGGACAUAGGGACACAAACCCCACACAAGCACCACCGAUUGUUUCCUGUGCGCUCAGAUACAUCUCUCUCUCCUUCAUCUAUUUCUCCUCCAUAGUCAGGCUCUGUU